This 20-nucleotide ribosomal RNA is filed under the name Vibrio splendidus. RNAcentral's name for it is "partial 23S ribosomal RNA". Lineage: Bacteria; Pseudomonadati; Pseudomonadota; Gammaproteobacteria; Vibrionales; Vibrionaceae. The record is from RNAcentral.
AUGGUUAAGUGACUAAGCGU